GUGCCAGCCGCCGCGGUAAUACGUAGGGGUCGAGCGUUGUCCGGAGUUACUGGGCGUAAAGCGUGCGCAGGCGGCUCAUCGCGCUCGGCGUGAAAGCCCCCGGCUCAACCGGGGAGGGUCGUCGAGGACGGGUGAGCUUGAGGGUAUCAGGGGUUGGUGGAAUUCCCGGUGUAGUGGUGAAAUGCGUAGAGAUCGGGAGGAACACCCGUGGCGAAGGCGGCCAACUGGGAUACACCUGACGCUGAGGCACGAAGGCGUGGGGAGCGAACGGGAUUAGAAACCCGGUAGUCC
RNAcentral lists this ribosomal RNA (291 nucleotides) under uncultured bacterium. Its description in RNAcentral is "partial 16S ribosomal RNA". It matches the Rfam family "Bacterial small subunit ribosomal RNA", at positions 505 to 796 of the family's 1533-position model. The record is from RNAcentral.